Molecule: ribosomal RNA, 468 nt
Filed under: uncultured bacterium
Lineage: Bacteria
Description: partial 16S ribosomal RNA
Rfam family: Bacterial small subunit ribosomal RNA
Source: RNAcentral
GACGAACGCUGGCGGCGUGCUUAACACAUGCAAGUCGAACGGAAAGGCCCUGCUUUUGUGGGGUGCUCGAGUGGCGAACGGGUGAGUAACACGUGAGUAACCUGCCCUUGACUUUGGGAUAACUUCAGGAAACUGGGGCUAACACCGGAUAGGAGCUCCUGCUGCAUGGUGGGGGUUGGAAAGUUUCGGCGGUUGGGGAUGGACUCGCGGCUUAUCAGCUUGUUGGUGGGGUAGUGGCUUACCAAGGCUUUGACGGGUAGCCGGCCUGAGAGGGUGACCGGCCACAUUGGGACUGAGAUACGGCCCGGACUCCUACGGGAGGCAGCAGUGGGGAAUAUUGCACAAUGGGCGGAAGCCUGAUGCAGCAACGCCGCGUGCGGGAUGACGGCCUUCGGGUUGUAAACCGCUUUCGCCUGUGACGAAGCGUGAGUGACGGUAAUGGGUAAAGAAGCACCGGCUAACUACGUG